Molecule: ribosomal RNA, 253 nt
Filed under: uncultured bacterium
Lineage: Bacteria
Description: partial 16S ribosomal RNA
Rfam family: Bacterial small subunit ribosomal RNA
Source: RNAcentral
UACGUAGGUGGCAAGCGUUGUCCGGAAUUAUUGGGCGUAAAGCGCGCGCAGGUGGUUUCUUAAGUCUGAUGUGAAAGCCCACGGCUCAACCGUGGAGGGUCAUUGGAAACUGGGGAACUUGAGUGCAGAAGAGGAAAGUGGAAUUCCAAGUGUAGCAGUGAAAUGCGUAGAGAUCCGGAGGAACCCCAGAGGCGAAGGCGGCGUCCUGGCUCGCAUCUGACGCUCAGACACGACAGCAUGGGGAGCGAACGGG